This 360-nucleotide ribosomal RNA is filed under the name uncultured bacterium. RNAcentral's name for it is "partial 16S ribosomal RNA". It matches the Rfam family "Bacterial small subunit ribosomal RNA", at positions 355 to 729 of the family's 1533-position model. The record is from RNAcentral.
UGGGGGAUAUUGCACAAUGGAGGAAACUCUGAUGCAGCAACGCCGCGUGAGGGAAGAAGGUCUUCGGAUUGUAAACCUUAGUAGUCAGGGACGAAAGAAAUGACGGUACCUGAAGAGUAAGCUCCGGCUAACUACGUGCCAGCAGCCGCGGUAAUACGUAGGGAGCGAGCGUUGUCCGGAUUUACUGGGUGUAAAGGGUGCGUAGGCGGGACUGCAAGUCAGACGUGAAAUACCGAGGCUUAACUUCGGGGCUGCGUUUGAAACUGUGGUUCUUGAGUGAAGUAGAGGCAGGCGGAAUUCCUAGUGUAGCGGUGAAAUGCGUAGAUAUUAGGAGGAACACCAGUGGCGAAGGCGGCCUGC